GUGAUUUCUAAGGGCUUGAUAGAAAACCCUUCCCACCUUUUGCAGGGUUUUUAGAAUCCAUCAAGACUGGGAUCUCCUUUGCUUGAUACUAGCAGUGCUAUCCAUUUUCUCAGGAGCAAUCCAUUUUCUCCUGUUUCCUUGAAUGUGCCAACCUUUUUGCACUGUCUUUUCUGCACUUUCUAGGGAACUGAAAAAUUGUUCCAAUAAAAUAAAAAAGUGCAGCUGUGGACAUCAGACAUAAAAAGACCAUGGACACAAUACUGCAGAAUCAGUGAAUUACCUAACUACUUUUUUUAUAUUCCUUUGCACUUGUAGAACUGCUGACCCUGCUUGAGUUGAGAAAGGUCAUUCACUGACCUCUAAAAUGGAAGGCCCCAUGAAAUGUCCAUCCAGGCUAGAAGCACAGGUGAGCAGUUUUGCACCCUUCUUUCACCCUUACAUCUUUUAGCUCAUCGCUUACUUUUCUAAGAUGGCUACCUAUUCCUUAACUAUAAAGCCAAGGUGUUAUUUUCAAAGAGAACUAACUCACACAAGUGAACGUGAGCUGGACAAGUCCUGGAGCUGGGGCUCCCCUCUCUGUACUCCAACUCUGGUGCUUCUCACAAAACAAGAUAACACCCAGAACUCUCUCAGAUGACAUUCAUCUUCAUCUGGCAUGGACAUAAAUUAAUGGGUGGUAAGGAAGCUGAAACAGAGACCAGUACAAGACCUGGCAUGUAAAUCACCCAAGGUUGUGCUCUCCUCAUGCUUCGAGACGUAGCAUGAUCCAAUGCAAUGAUCAUGCUGGAUGUGAAGAACACUUAAUGUCUUUUAAUUAGGUUUUGAAGUAAUGCAUGCCAACACCCUGUAACUACUUCAGCCUUGACUCAUUCGUGAAGAUGCAUGCCAUAUGUAAGAGACCAACAUAAAAAGGAUGACCCCAAAACUAACACAUUUCACUGUUGACGUAUGCUUCUUUUUCAGACUGUGAAGCUCAGCUGACAUGCUCAAUGCCUGCCUGCAUGACACAGGCUGUCAUUAUUCAUUAUGGACUUGGUCUCAGUACUGUGACUCCAGGAAGCAAGUGUUAAUUGGUGUGAACAAAAAUGAAGGUUUUGACUUCUUGUAAACAACAGACAAAGGGCUUUGCAAUGGCUUAUCAGACAGACAGACUGGAACAGAGCUCUCUGUUAUUAGCAUUACUUCAUCUGAAAUGCUUUCAGCUUGGGAAUUUGGGGGAGGGAAUAGCAGACUCAAGUUUAGAAUGAUAACUCUAUAUUUGACUGUUGUUGCAGAGGGAUAUGUUUUCUAUUAAGGAGGGUCUUCCAAGGCAAACUGGGAGAUGUAGGGUCCCAGCUUCACACAGAGCAAGUCACUUCACAUUCCUGCACCUUUUCACCUCUUUUUAAUCCCUCUCUCUUUUUAAACUUCUAUGACCAAUGGUCUUUUUUCUCUAUAUAUUUUUUUGGACUUAUAGAGCAUCCAUUUCCACUGGAUGUUUUAAGGCAACACUUUGAUAGAAUAGUUUAUUUGAGCAUGAAGCAUCUUCACCACCACUCUGGUAGCCAGUAGUUUAAAAUUUGCAUGUUAUCAACUGUAUUUACUGCAUUUACUUUAUCAUGGAAAAUGCAUUAACAAUUACAAACCAUCAUUUUAUG
Molecule: long non-coding RNA, 1637 nt
Filed under: Anas platyrhynchos platyrhynchos (common mallard)
Lineage: Eukaryota; Metazoa; Chordata; Aves; Anseriformes; Anatidae
Description: lncRNA (ENSAPLG00000029575.1)
Source: RNAcentral